This 833-nucleotide ribosomal RNA is filed under the name uncultured archaeon. Its description in RNAcentral is "bacterial SSU rRNA". It matches the Rfam family "Archaeal small subunit ribosomal RNA", at positions 21 to 859 of the family's 1478-position model. The record is from RNAcentral.
AGGCCACUGCUAUCAGGGUCCGAUUAAGCCAUGCGAGUCGAGAGGGGUAAGCCCUCGGCAAACGGCUCAGUAACACGUGGAUAACCUACCCUCGGAUCUGGAAUAACCCCGGAAAACUGGGGAUAAUACCGGAUAAGCCACGAAAGCUGGAAUGCUUCGUGGUACAAAGCGUUAGCGUCCGAGGAUGGGUCUGCGGCCGAUUAGGUUGUUGCUGGGGUAACGUCCCAACAAGCCGAUGAUCGGUACGGGUUGUGAGAGCAAGAGCUCGGAGAUGGAUUCUGAGACACGAAUCCAGGCCCUACGGGGCGCAGCAGGCGCGAAAACUUUACACUGCGCGAAAGCGCGAUAAGGGGACCCUGAGUGCGUGCGCAAUGCGUACGCUUUUCAGAUGCCUAAAAAGCAUUUGGAAUAAGGGCCGGGCAAGACCGGUGCCAGCCGCCGCGGUAACACCGGCGGCUCGAGUGGUGGCCGCUAUUAUUGGGCUUAAAGGGUCCGUAGCCGGACCGGUUAGUCCAUUGGGAAAUCUUAUAGCUCAACUAUAAGGCUGCCAAUGGAUACUGCUGGUCUUGGGACCGGGAGAGGCAAGAGGUACCUCAGGGGUAGGAGUGAAAUCCUGUAAUCCUUGAGGGACCGCCAGUGGCGAAGGCGUCUUGCUAGAACGGGUCCGACGGUGAGGGACGAAAGCUAGGGGCACGAACCGGAUUAGAUACCCGGGUAGUCCUAGCCAUAAACGAUGCGAGCUAGGUGUCACGUGGAUUGCGAAUCCGCGUGGUGCCGUAGGGAAACCGUGAAGCUCGCCGCCUGGGAAGUACGGCCGCAAGGCUGAAACUUAA